Molecule: long non-coding RNA, 1515 nt
Organism: Phycodurus eques (leafy seadragon)
Lineage: Eukaryota; Metazoa; Chordata; Actinopteri; Syngnathiformes; Syngnathidae
Exons: 5
Source: RefSeq, a predicted model, not a curated record
CUCAUAUCUUGCAAAAAAACUCGUGUCGAGUUACUUGUAUCUCAAGGUACACCACUGGACCUCGUAGUCCACCUUUCCGUGGACCUCACCUGGAGUCGAAACCCUUCCCGUCUGCUCAAGAAGGCGUAACAUCUCUACUUCAUCCGGAAGCUGCGACAUGCCAGACUGGGGCGCCAUGUCUUGAGGAGCUUCUACAGAUGUGGUGGAGAGUGUCCUCAGCUUCAGCAUCACGGUGUGGCACAGCAGCUGCUCGGCUGCAGAGAGGAAGGCAUUACAAAGGGAGGUAAAUGGAUCCGCGAGGCCGCCAAGACCCACAAGCUGGAGGAGCAGGAGCUGGCACACGCUGUCAACGCCAGCGCCACGGUGCUGACCAAGGUCAAGCUGUCCAGCCCUAAGGUUUUGGAUAAAUCACUCAAACAAGUGUUCAUUUUGAGUUUUGGAGUCGCAGCACAGCCGUGGAAAUUGUCAACAGCAGCAAAGUUCUCCAGGCAGAGACAACCAUGCUUCUGGAUGGAAAACAUCCGUCCGAGUUCGCCGAGGAAGAGGGGCUCCGCUUAACCCUGAACAGCCUGAGUGCUGAGCUCCACAAACUGGAUGACAUCCAGUUUGUCCACUCACGCAUUGUGCCGAGGAGUGUCGACACGUUGCUUGUAUGCAGCAGACUACAGCCAUCUUUUAGAAACAACACGAUGGAAACCGCCUUCAGACUGAAAUGAGACUUUUCGUGGACACCUUGUUUCCACGCACGCAACCUUCAAUGACACCAGAAGCCGAUGUGCAGAAAUCUUAGACGUCGAACAGAAAAGAAAAACAUGGAAUGUAUUUGUGUGUCGAGCUGUUAACAAUCCAUCCAUUUUCUGAGCCGCUUCUCCUCACUAGGGUCGCGGGCGUGCCGGAGCCUAUCCCAGCCGUCAUCGGGCAGGAGGCGGGGUACACCCUGAACCGGUUGCCAGCCAAUCGCAGGGCACAUACAAACUAACAACCAUUCGUACGCAGAGUCACACCUACGGGCAAGUUAGAGUCUCCAAUGAAUGCAUGUUUUUGGGAUGCGGGAGGAAACCGGAGUGCUCGGAGAAAAUCCACGCAGGCACGGGGAGAACAUGGAAACUCCACACAGGCGGGGCCGGGGAUUGAAUCCGGGUCCUCAGAACCGUGAGGCUGACGUUCUAACCAGUCGUCCACUGUGCCGCUGCUGUUAAUAAUACUACUGAUAAUAAUACUGAUAAUGAUGUGCACAUGCAAGGUGCUCAAGUGGUUUUUACUUUGUUUGGCUUGUUGUGACCUCAACCAAAGAGGUCAUGGGGGUGGUUCAUGAUCAGCUGACUCUAGAUAUAAUGCAUCAAUUUGAAUGUUUGCUUUGCCAAUUGUUCUUAUCGUCUCGCUCUCGUGGGUUUGCUGUCCAAUCCCCCACCACCCACAGGUCCCCCCAACCAUCCCCCCCGUGCGUUCAUAAACACGAUUGGAUCCAUCAAGAAAUCAAGUUGGCCAAAUGGAAAAUUCGUCGUUUGCAUAAGC